GAUCAACGCUAACUCCUAGAAAACAUUUGUACAGGUCACACUGAACAGCAGAUUGUUGUCUCAAGCCAGUGCUGAUCAAUGACAGUUUAUCUGCAGUAUGUCAGAGAAGAGAGGAAAGAUGAGUCUCUCACAGAAACAGAGUGUAAGAUCAGGAUCACAUGUGUCUGUGAAGAGUGACGCGGUCAAAGGGUGAAGGACCAAACUUCAGUGAGAAAAAAACAUCAAUCAAAAGUGUAAGAUCAGGCUCACAUGUGUCCAGCUCUGUGUCUGUGAAGAGUGACCAGUCAAAGAGAGAAGCACCAGACUUCAGUGAAGAAACAUCACGAGCCAAACGGCUUCAGUAUGAAACAUUAGAUCCAGAUUUACAGUCUCACAGGAACCGCAAGAAUUUUACAGACAGUCUCCUGCAGAUCUUCCAGGAUCUUGAGAGCAAAAUAUUCAAAUUUCUGAAGAAAGAACUGGAAAAGUUUAAGAAAAUAUUACAAAAAAGAGGACAUGCAAUACUUUGUGAAGGACUUUAAUGAGAAACAGAUGCAGUAUGAAAGAAGCAGCUCUUGAUCUCACGCUCUACUUCCUGAGAGAGAUGAAGCAAGAUGAAGCUGCUGAUACUCUAGAAGAUGAGCUGGUCUUUAUUCAUCAGCUAAAGUGUAGCCUAAAGAAGAAGUGUCAAUGUGUGUUUGAAGGAAUUGCAAAGCAGGGUGACUCUACACUUCUAAAGAACAUCUACACAGAUCUCUAUAUCACUCAGGGUUGUAGUGAACAGGUCAAUACUGAACAUGAGGUGAGGACAGAUUGAAGUUGCUUCCAGACGUCAUGAAUCACAGGAGAUACAGGUUGAGUGCAAAAAUGUGUUUGAAGCACCUGAACAAGACAAGCAGAUCAGAACUGUACUGACAAAAGGAAUUGCUGGCAUCGGAAAAUCAGUCUCUGUGCAGAAGUUUGUUCUGGAUUGGGCCGAAGGAAAAGAAAAUCAAGAUAUCAGCUUCAUAUUUCCUCUUCCAUUCAGAGAGAUGAACUUAAAGGAGCAAGAAAAACUAAGUUUGAUUGACCUUAUAACUCAGUUUUUCCCAGAAACAGAAAGACUGAACCUUACAAGAAGAAAUCAAUUCAAAGUCUUGUUCAUUCUUGAUGGAUUGGAUGAAUGUCGACUUCCUGUAAACUUUAAGGAUAAUGAGACGUGGUCUGAUGUAUCAUCCCCAGCCUCUCUGGAUGUUCUCCUAACGAACCUCAUCAAGGGAAAAUCUGCUUCCUUCUGCUCUC
Cyprinus carpio (common carp) is the source of this 1260-nucleotide long non-coding RNA. RefSeq lists it as uncharacterized. The record is from RefSeq and is a predicted model, not a curated record. The transcript has 7 exons. Lineage: Eukaryota; Metazoa; Chordata; Actinopteri; Cypriniformes; Cyprinidae.